RNAcentral lists this ribosomal RNA (515 nucleotides) under uncultured bacterium. RNAcentral's name for it is "partial 16S ribosomal RNA". It matches the Rfam family "Bacterial small subunit ribosomal RNA", at positions 28 to 523 of the family's 1533-position model. The record is from RNAcentral.
GACGAACGCUGGCGGCAUGCCUAAUACAUGCAAGUCGAGCGAACAGAUGAAGUGCUUGCGCUUCUGACGUUAGCGGCGAACGGGUGAGUAACACGCAAGGAAUCUACCUACAAGCGCGGGUUAACAUUCGGAAACGGGUGCUAAUACCGCAUCAUAUCUUCUUCCUCAUGGACGAAGAUUGAAAGACUGCCUUGCUGUCAAUUAUAGUUGACCUGGCGGUGCAUUAGUUAGUUGGUGGGGUAAUGGCCUACCAAGACGAUGAUGCUAAUAGCCGACCUGAGAGGUUGAUCGGCCAAAUUGGGACUGAGACACGGCCCAAACUCCUACGGGAGGCAGCAGUAGGGAAUCUUCCGCCAUGGGCGAAAGCCUGACGGAGCAAUGCCGCGUGAGUGAAGAAGGCCUUCGGGUCGUAAAACUCUGUUAUAAGAGAAGAACAAAUUGUAGAGUAACUGCUACAGUCUUGACGGUAUCUUAUCAGAAAGCCACGGCUAACUACGUGCCAGCAGCCGCCGCGG